CAAAUGUGAAAUCCCCGAGCUUAACUUGGGAAUUGCAUUCGAUACUGGUUGGCUAGAGUAUGGGAGAGGAUGGUAGAAUUCCAGGUGUAGCGGUGAAAUGCGUAGAGAUCUGGAGGAAUACCGAUGGCGAAGGCAGUCAUCUGGCCUAAUACUGACGCUGAGGUACGAAAGCAUGGGGAGCAAACAGGAUUAGAUACCCUGGUAGUCCAUGCCGUAAACGAUGUCUACUAGCCGUUGGGGCCCUUGAGGCUUUAGUGGCGCAGCUAACGCGAUAAGUAGACCGCCUGGGGAGUACGGUCGCAAGACUAAAACUCAAAUGAAUUGACGGGGGCCCGCACAAGCGGUGGAGCAUGUGGUUUAAUUCGAUGCAACGCGAAGAACCUUACCUGGCCUUGACAUACAGAGAACUUUCCAGAGAUGGAUUGGUGCCUUCGGGAACUCUGAUACAGGUGCUGCAUGGCUGUCGUCAGCUCGUGUCGUGAGAUGUUGGGUUAAGUCCCGCAACGAGCGCAACCCUUUUCCUUAUUUGCCAGCACUUCGGGUGGGAACUUUAAGGAUACUGCCAGUGACAAACUGGAGGAAGGCGGGGACGACGUCAAGUCAUCAUGG
This 609-nucleotide ribosomal RNA is filed under the name uncultured Acinetobacter sp. RNAcentral's name for it is "bacterial SSU rRNA". It matches the Rfam family "Bacterial small subunit ribosomal RNA", at positions 589 to 1198 of the family's 1533-position model. The record is from RNAcentral. Lineage: Bacteria; Pseudomonadati; Pseudomonadota; Gammaproteobacteria; Moraxellales; Moraxellaceae.